This 440-nucleotide ribosomal RNA is filed under the name uncultured bacterium. Its description in RNAcentral is "partial 16S ribosomal RNA". It matches the Rfam family "Bacterial small subunit ribosomal RNA", at positions 338 to 795 of the family's 1533-position model. The record is from RNAcentral.
CCUACGGGUGGCAGCAGUGGGGAAUAUUGCACAAUGGGGGAAACCCUGAUGCAGCGACGCCGCGUGAGUGAAGAAGUAUCUCGGUACGUAAAGCUCUAUCAGCAGGGAAGAUAAUGACGGCACCUGACCAAGAAGCUCCGGCUAAUUGCGUGCAAGCAGCCGCGGUAAUACGUAGGGGGCAAGCAUAAUCCGGAUGUACUGGGUGUAAAGGGGGCGUAGACGGUAGCACAAGUGUGGAGUGAAAUCCCGGGGCUUAACCCCGGAACUGCGUUGGAAACUGUGCGGCUGGAGUGCAGGAGGGGUAAGCGGAAUUCCUAGUGUAGCGGUGAAAUGCGUAGAUAUUAGGAGGAACACCGGUGGCGAAGGCGGCUUACUGGACUGUAACUGACGCUGAGGCUCGAAAGCGUGGGGAGCAAACAGGAUUAGAUACCCCGGUAGUC